UGGGGAAUCUUCCGCAAUGGACGAAAGUCUGACGGAGCAACGCCGCGUGUAUGAUGAAGGUCUUCGGAUUGUAAAGUACUGUCAUUGGGGAAGAACGGUUUUCUUGAAAAGAUUGAGAAGACAUGACGGUACCCAAGGAGGAAGCCCCGGCUAACUACGUGCCAGCAGCCGCGGUAAUACGUAGGGGGCAAGCGUUGUCCGGAAAUUAUUGGGCGUAAAGGGCGCGUAGGCGGGCCUUUAAGUCCGGUGUGAAAGAUCAGGGCUCAACCCUGAGAGUGCAUCGGAAACUGGAGGCCUUGAGGACAGGAGAGGAAAGUGGAAUUCCACGUGUAGCGGUGAAAUGCGUAGAUAUGUGGAGGAACACCAGUGGCGAAGGCGACCUUCUGGACUGUAACUGACGCUGAGGCGCGAAAGCGUGGGGAGCAAACAGGAUUAGAUACCCUGGUAGUCCACGCCGUAAACGAUGAGUGCUAGGUGUAGAGGGUAUCGACCCCUUCUGUGCCGCAGUUAACACAAUAAAGCACUCCCGCCUGGGGAGUACGGCCGCAAGGUUG
This 554-nucleotide ribosomal RNA is filed under the name uncultured bacterium. RNAcentral describes it as "partial 16S ribosomal RNA". It matches the Rfam family "Bacterial small subunit ribosomal RNA", at positions 355 to 896 of the family's 1533-position model. The record is from RNAcentral.